UACGAAUCGUGCGAACGUUGUUCGGAAUCACUGGGCUUAAAGGGCGCGUAGGCGGGCAGUCAAGUCCGAGGCUGAAAUCCCCCAGCUCAACUGGGGAAUUGGCCCGGAUACUGGUUGCCUCGAGGGAGAUAGGGGCGUGCGGAACGUUUGGUGGAGCGGUGAAAUGCGUUGAUAUCAAACGGAACUCCGGUGGCGAAGGCGGCACGCUGGAUCUCUUCUGACGCUGAGGCGCGAAAGCUAGGGUAGCGAACGGG
This 254-nucleotide unclassified non-coding RNA is filed under the name uncultured Planctomycetia bacterium. RNAcentral's name for it is "contains 16S-23S intergenic spacer region". It matches the Rfam family "Bacterial small subunit ribosomal RNA", at positions 524 to 776 of the family's 1533-position model. The record is from RNAcentral. Lineage: Bacteria; Pseudomonadati; Planctomycetota; Planctomycetia.